RNAcentral lists this long non-coding RNA (996 nucleotides) under Homo sapiens (human). Its description in RNAcentral is "HSALNT0086827". The record is from RNAcentral. Lineage: Eukaryota; Metazoa; Chordata; Mammalia; Primates; Hominidae.
CUGGGACCCACAGGAAUUCCCUCCCUUCAGUCCCGGGGGGAGGCGGCCGCGAUCCUGGGGGAGGCGCAGCCUCACAACCCGGACUUUGCGGGCGGGCGGGCACUGGUGAGAAGAGGAAGUGGGAGAGGCCUGGGAAGGAAACUUGGAAACCGAAAACUCGGCGGCCGAGGCUCCGUGCCCCGCGCGCAGCGCUGCUCCUGCCCCGGCCAAGGACGCACGGGCCAGCCGGCGGAACCAGAGGUUUUCAGUGAUGUUGAGAGUCAACAGGAAAUUAAUCAGCAAGUAGAAAAUUGAAAGAAGAUCUGCAUCUUACUGCAGGAGUCAUUAAAAUAAAAGCAGAUUUGGCAAAAUGGCAAGAACCAGAGGAUGAGGAUGUAAAACAAAAACUUUUGGAGUCAUUUUGCCACCAGGAUGAAAAUAGGAUGAAGCUGACAUGACAAAGGUGCAGGGGGCAACUAUUGCAUCCAGAAAAAAAAAAAAUGAAGAUAAUGACUUCUCUGCAACUAAGAUGAAGAUCCACUGAACUUUGGGGUUUGAAAUGCAACGUUAGAACUUCAGACUCCCGGCACCUAGGUCUCCAGCUGCUGGGUGGUGCCAGCAUCAGAGAUACACUCUGCAAAACAUAUACUGUCUUAGGAAAAAGUGACCCUGUUGUCCUUUCAGGCCCAUAUUCCACAAGAAGACAAAUGGAGAUGUAAAAGGAAAACUGCAGCUCCGACUGAAGAGAGAGCAAGUUGUCUGUUCUGAUACAGCCAGGAAAUAAGAUGUUCUGGUUAAUAUGUGCUAAAGAUGUGGUGCUGACUUUCCGACUCAGAAUAUGAUCACAUGUUUUUCUCAUUAAAACUAUAUUGAAUAUUAUUUGACCAUUGUUGAGUCAGUCAUCUUGAUAAAUAUUAUCUUCGUACAGUCCUGAGCAGAGAGUCAGUGACUAGAAUGCCACUGAAACCAGCUUUUUAUAGGACACGGUUUUCAUGGUUUUAGGGCAUGGAGAAACUU